Molecule: transfer RNA, 76 nt
Filed under: Candidatus Parcubacteria bacterium
Lineage: Bacteria; Candidatus Parcubacteria
Description: tRNA-Val
Rfam family: tRNA
About the family: Transfer RNA (tRNA) molecules are approximately 80 nucleotides in length.
Source: RNAcentral
GGGCGCAUAGCUCAGUUGGCAGAGCGCUUCCUCGACACGGAAGAGGUCUCUGGUUCGAAUCCAGAUGCGCCCACCA